Long non-coding RNA from Microplitis mediator, 2615 nucleotides. RefSeq lists it as uncharacterized. The record is from RefSeq and is a predicted model, not a curated record. The transcript is spliced from 3 exons. NCBI's taxonomy places the organism in Eukaryota, Metazoa, Arthropoda, Insecta, Hymenoptera, Braconidae.
CUCAAAAUUUGCGUUCUACUCGAUGCUGUGUUUUCUGGCAUCAGCGAAUUCACCGUCUCUUUGAGCUCAAGAAAAUUUUCUUUUAUCCCAUCGCGACGUUUUCUUUCCAAUGCAUUGUGAUGGGCGCGCCUCUCCUCCUGAUUUACAAAUAAAUGUUACUACACUCAAUCUCCGACAAGUUCAAAAUGUAAGAGCUCAGGAUUGCAAUAACUAGAGUGACACUCGACGUUUGAGGCAGUCAGCAGCUUGGAGAACGGUAGGACCGUGAAUGACGCUGAUCACCACAUCCAGGUCUCUUUAUAUACUCGGUCAUCGCGAUCCGAGGACAGAGGACGGAGGACAGAGGAUGUCGAAUCCAACAAUCGGACAUGGAUAUUAUAUACAACUACACCAGAAAUCACUCACUACUCCAAACUAAUCAAACAAAAAAAAAAUAAAAGAAUCUUUAAAUUUAAUUUCGACGGAUACGCUGCGUAUCAAACAGACUGCAGCUGUCACCUGUCAAUCUUGUUGCUUAAUUUGAUUUUUUUUUGGAUUUACUAUGAAUCAAAUAUCAGGUACAGACGGCAAUCAAAAACAGAAAUAAAAUACUUAAUUAAAAAAAAAUAAGUUAAUGGUUUAUAAAUAAAAAUUAACGGAAAUUGUGUGAGAGGAUUUAUUACACAAAUUAAAAAAGUUUUUUUUUUUUAAAUUUAUAUGAAGGUCUUCUAUUGUAAAUUAUAGACAAUACUUCUCACAUAUUUCUUAUAAUUAGAUUUUUCUGCAUUAAUUGUUUUUUGCCACUAUUAUUUUUUUACAUUAAAACGUUUAACUCUAACUGACUAUGAAUGAACCGAUUGGUAUAAGUUGACAUUGAAAAAAGAAACCUUUUUAUUUUUAUUUACUCAUAAUUGUAAUGUGAAUCAUUAGAUUUUUUUUUAGAAUCCUAUUUUUUAUUAGACUACAAUGUUUUUGUUUAUUUUUUUACGCUUGUUAAUUUUGUAAGGAAGUAAUAUGUAGGGUAAUUAGAAAAUCGUGUAUGUUUUUUUUAUUAGCGUAUUGUUAAAUUUAUUAUGGACACGUGAGAUUUUAAUUGAUGAAUUUUUAAAAAUAAAAAUAAAAACCGUAAAUAAUUUAAAACAAAAAUUGUCGGAAUUUUUUCGGUGAGUACUCGUAAGUUUUUCGAAAUAAUUAUUAAUGACUUUAGCGAUUUAAUUAUCUAAUUAUAUUUUAAUUACUUAAUUACAAAAGAGUCUCUUAAAUCUUUUAAUUGAGUCAUCAAUUUUUGUUGCGAUUUACGAGAUCGCAAAAAAUCUCAUUUUUUUUACAGGCUUGCGAUUACGUAAUAACUGACAUCCGAAAAAAUUACGGUAAUAAAUAAUAUUUUUUGAUGACUUGAUAUAAAUUUAAAAAUACUAAAUUUAUAGACGUACAGAUUCAAAAUUAACGUUAAGCUCCAGAAUUGACAGCCGUCAGAAAUUAUAAAAAGUUGAUAAACUUAAUUCUGUUUAAAAAAAAUCAGACGGUUGAGUUAUUAAUGAAAUAAAUAAAAAAAUAUAUAUAAAUAUAAAAUAAUUUAUUUACACAUGAAGAAUACGUUGUACAAAAAAAAUAACGCAUUCUUUGGUCCAUUUUUCUAGAAUUAAAAAAAUACGUUGUAUUAAAAAUUUUUUUUACAAUAAAAAAAAUACAUUUUAUAUAUUUUUUAUUUUAUGCUUAAUUAAUUUAAUUAAUUACUGGUAAUUUUCAUUAAAUAUCAAUAAAAUUCGGUUGUUAAAAUAUUAGCUUAUAAAUAUCUUAUAAUAAUAAUAAAUAAAAUUAUAACGGAAUGAUUUAAUUUAACAAUAGUCUAACUAACUUUGAUAUUUUGAUUGCUUGUAAAUAAGUAUAAAUAUAUUUACAUUAAAGUGAUACUUCGGCUUCCGCAUCUUUUAUUUUUAAACAUUUUUUUAUUUUUCUAAAACAUAAAAAAUCAAAUUAGUUUAUUAUUUUUGUAAAAAUAAAUACUGGGUAAUUAUCAUCUAAUUACCCAGUAGUCACAGUGACUUAAUCAUGACGUUAAUGUGAUGUCUGUAUGACAUUCUAUGAUGUCAAUAUGAUGUAUGGGUGAUGUCAAAAUUAACAAUCCAGAAAAAAUAUUUUAAAAAAUUGAAAUACCGAAUUUUCGAUUUGAUUAUUACCGCGCAAACGCAUUGAAAAUUUAGAAACAAGAUGUGACAUUUCUAUGACACGUAUGACGUCAAAUUAUGGUCAUGUGUUUACUGAGUACACUGUAAAAAAUCGGGAGUGAAUUCGGAGUGAUUACGGAUUUUAUUUCAAUUCGCAUUUACCGAUUCGGAGUAUUAAUUUUAAAAUUGACUUCUUUUUGAAGUAAAUUUCACUCCGAGGGGAUUAAAUAAAUAAGCAGCCAUCCACUUAGUCCGCGUUCACUCCGGAUUUAAUCUGCAUUCACUCCGUAAAUUUUUUACUGUGUGAUAAAAAUUAAAUUUUUCACAUACUUUCCAAAAUCUUCACCAUCUUGAAGAGUUUCCGGUAGUUUACAUCCGUUGGUUUCUGGUAAAAAUAAUGCCAAGCCCGCACCAAUCAGCGGGAAUGUACCAAAAAUUAACGGAGGUAAAAAUCCUUGUACCGUACUC